This 133-nucleotide ribosomal RNA is filed under the name Propithecus coquereli (Coquerel's sifaka). Lineage: Eukaryota; Metazoa; Chordata; Mammalia; Primates; Indriidae. The record is from RNAcentral.
AUCUGUGGCCAUACCACCCUGAAUGCGCCCGUUCUCGUCUGAUUUCGGGAGCUAAGCAGGGUCGGGCCCGGCUAGUACUUGGAUGGGAGAUACUGCAUUAUGUUUCAAAGCUGAUAGCUUGGAGGCACUGUUU